CCGUCGCCCUCAAGAAGCCAAACAGGCUCUCAGAGUCUCUCAGGCCCUGCCCCGGACGUGGCCCCGCCCCAGAGCAUGCUGGGCAGGACCUCCCCAUAGAUCCCUCCCAUUGCCAAUGUAUUCCUCCAGAGGAUUCUGAGCUCUGCUUGGUGUUUCCAGCUGUGAUGAGACUCUCUCCUGGCUUUGAUGAAGCAAGCUGCCAUGUUGGAGAGGCCUACAUGACAAGGAACUGAAGGUUGCCUCCGGCCAACUCCAGCCAACAGCCAUCCAGGAAUUGAGGCUCUCAGUCCAACAGGCCUUGAGGAACUGCAUCCAGCCAGCAGCUAUAGAAGUGAGCAAAGAAGUGUGUAUUUCCCCAGUCAAGCCUUCAGCUGAGACCCCAGCCCCAGCUGCCACCUUAAUUGCAGCCUUGUGAGAGACCUUGGAGCAGAGAACCCAGAUUCUUCGGUGGGACCCACCCAGUUCCUGGACCCUGCCCUGGCCACUCCAGUGUCCACAAUCGCAAAACCCACCCAUACGCACACCUGCACUGACUGCUCACCUGUGAGAUACUCAGG
Non-coding RNA from Equus caballus (horse), 557 nucleotides. NCBI's taxonomy places the organism in Eukaryota, Metazoa, Chordata, Mammalia, Perissodactyla, Equidae. The record is from RefSeq and is a predicted model, not a curated record.